GAUGAAGAACGUAGCGAAAUGCGAUAAGUAAUGUGAAUUGCAGAAUUCAGUGAAUCAUCGAAUCUUUGAACGCACCUUGCGCUCCUUGGUAUUCCGAGGAGCAUGCCUGUUUGAGUGUCAUUAAAUUCUCAACCUUAUUGGCUUUUGCUGAUAAUGGCUUGGACUUGGGGGUCUUUUUGCUGGCUUUCAUUAGUCUGCUCCCCUUAAAUGUAUUAGCCGGUGCCCCGCAGUGGAACCGUCUAUUGGUGUGAUAAUUAUCUACGCCGUGGACGUCUGCUAUAAUGGGUUUGCGCUGCUUCUAACCGUCUCUCGGGACAACACAAAUGACAAUUUGACCUCAAAUCAGGUAGGACUACCCGCUGAACUUAAGAAUAUCAAUAAGCGGAGGA
Molecule: unclassified non-coding RNA, 389 nt
Filed under: soil metagenome
Description: partial contains 5.8S ribosomal RNA, internal transcribed spacer 2, and large subunit ribosomal RNA
Rfam family: 5.8S ribosomal RNA (bases 1-120)
Source: RNAcentral